CAUUGUGUUCGUCAUCCUUGCUCCCCUGCACAAAGACACAGCAGCUAGCUUCCCCACAGUCACCGUCUUUGUCACAUUCCUGCAGCGUAUGUGUCGUUCAGACUACCUAGCCAUGUUCAGACAAUGUCAGCAGGACACAUGAGCCAAUGGCAGUGAUCCCCUGGGGACAGAUCGUAUCACCGAUAACAGCGUCAGUGGGCACUGCUGUGCUCUUGUUGUUUGCGUGAACCUAUAAAUGGAACGGCUGUAGAGUCAGAGAUCUCUAGUUAAAUGGAAAAGACAAAGACGAGCUGCUAUUGACGCAGGAACCCCAAAGGAUGCAAAGCAUAGAAGACUGAAGUUAUGUCAGAGUCGACUAAGAGGGGAACAAUGGCUGCCUACAGAACGUCUCUUCGCCUUAAUAAGGUUGAGGAUCUCUCCACCUCCACGUCGCACAUCAAUACCUCCAACAGCUGGGAGAUAACAGGGGAGGACAAAGAAACCCUUGAGAACAGUACAAGGAAAACCGGAACAAAGUCACAAUAAUUAGGCGUAAAUGAGUUCGGCGCGGAGAGAAAUGAGCUCGGCGCUGAAGACAGCUGCACAAAGCAAAUUAAUUUGAACAGGCAAACUCUAAACUAAGGCGUCUAAAAAUAAAUCAGUCACAAAGAUUAGGAAACUAUUAUUUGUUAAGGUGGGUUCCUGGUGGUCAAAAAGUGAGGAAGAAAACUAUCAUCAUGAGCGGUGAUGUUACCGGUUAGUAAAAAGGAAAAAAAAAGGUUUUUAUUAAAAUACAAAUGCAAAAUAAAUUAUUUUCAUCUGGUGGUGGGACUCUAAUGAAUUCGCUGCAAUUAAUCAAAAGCCAUCUAUCAACAAUAUAAGCUAAAUUUUGUCUGUUGCAAUUCAUAAAAAUCCCUUUUCUGCUAAAUUCCAGAGUAGGUAAACAUAUGAGCUGAACAACAAAGAUUUUUAUUGCUUUUGAUAUGUUAUUUAUUUUAUUCAGCCAUCAGAUUGGUGCGCAAAGCUAUCACACCCGUUUAGAAAUGUAUUCUGUGGACGCUGACAUUAGCAUCGGAGACAUCUGUGCUGCUGCUACAUAUUUAGCAGUGUUGUUUCACUAUCUACACUAACUCUUUGAAGAAUUAAAAUAAAUAUGAAUUACAGCAACACUUAAUUUGCCUUUGGGUUGGGAUCAAUAAAGUAUUUUUGAAUUGAAUUAGAAUUGAAUUGAGAUGCUAUUUUGGGUUUGAGUAGCUUUGCUAACAGGCUAACUCUUUUUAGCACAACCUACAACAUUAGUCGUUUCCAGUCCCAGCAGAUUAAAAUUAAACCCCAGUGGGUCAAGAGAGGUGAUUUCUCCAUGGAUGUCUCUUGUGUGUCAGAUUUACGGACGUACCAGAAACAGAAAUGUAAAGGUUCCAUUGUUGGGACUUUUGUAUAAAAAAGGGAUUAAUUGCAAUCAAGUUUUUAAUUGAAAUUAACACGUUAAAGUCCUGGCUAAAGGUGGGCAAUAUGGGCUGUCAUGGAAAAUUGCAAUAAGGUCACAUCUGCUAGUCAUGUCAUAUGAAAUGUUUAUGAACUCUCACCAAAAGAACUAUUUGGGUUUCAUGUAGAAGGUUGGAAGUUGUUUUCUACAGCUGCAUCAGAACCAGGCUGUCUCUCCCCUUGUUGUUAUUUCUUUAUCUUUGGUAUAAAACUCUUGUGUUGUCUCUGCCUGGCAGAGCUUAGCAAGCUUUUCAUCCAGACCUGCUUCAUUACUGAUUGUCCUACAAGCUCUCGGUAUUGUGCACAAUAUAUGAAUAAACCUGAUUGAGUGAUUUCACCUGAA
Molecule: long non-coding RNA, 1807 nt
Organism: Gambusia affinis (western mosquitofish)
Lineage: Eukaryota; Metazoa; Chordata; Actinopteri; Cyprinodontiformes; Poeciliidae
Exons: 3
Source: RefSeq, a predicted model, not a curated record